RNAcentral lists this ribosomal RNA (350 nucleotides) under uncultured soil bacterium. Its description in RNAcentral is "bacterial SSU rRNA". It matches the Rfam family "Bacterial small subunit ribosomal RNA", at positions 26 to 387 of the family's 1533-position model. The record is from RNAcentral.
AGAACGAACGCUGGCGGCAUGCCUAAUACAUGCAAGUCGAACGAACACUCUGACUUCGGUUGGGGUGUUAGUGGCGCACGGGUGCGUAACGCGUGGGAAUCUGCCCUUGGGUUCGGAAUAACAGUUGGAAACGACUGCUAAUACCGGAUGAUAUCGAAAGAUCAAAGAUUUAUCGCCCAGGGAUGAGCCCGCGUAGGAUUAGCUAGUUGGUGGGUAAAGGCUCACCAAGGCGACGAUCCGUUAGCUGGCCUGAGAGGAUGAUCAGCCACACGUGGGACUGAGACACGGCCAGACUCCGACGGGAGCAGCAGUAGGAAUAGUGGAACAAGUGGGACGACAAGCCUAGGACU